RNAcentral lists this long non-coding RNA (389 nucleotides) under Homo sapiens (human). RNAcentral describes it as "non-protein coding lnc-GJA1-5:1". The record is from RNAcentral. Lineage: Eukaryota; Metazoa; Chordata; Mammalia; Primates; Hominidae.
GUGUGCAUAAAUGUCCUGGCUGAUGAUCUCAAGAGCAUCAACAAUGCUGAAAAGAGAGGCAAAUGCUAGGUUCUUAUUAGGCCGUGCUCCAAAGUUAUUGUCUGAUUCCUAACUGUGAUGAUGAAGCAUGGUUACAUUGACAAAUUUAAAGUCACUGAUGAUCACAGAGCAGGGAUAAUUGUUGUGAACCUCACAGGAAGUCUAAACUAGUGUGGAGUGAUCGGCCCCAAAUUUGAUAUGCAACUCAAAGAUCUAGAAAAAUGGCAGAAUAAUUUGCUUCCAUCCUGCUAGUUUAGGUUUGUUGUACUGACAACCUCAGCUGGCAUCAUGGACCACAAAGAAUCAGGAUGAAAACACACAGGAGGGAAGAUCCUGGGAAUUUUUUCUAG